This is a long non-coding RNA of Herpailurus yagouaroundi (jaguarundi), 958 nucleotides long. RefSeq lists it as uncharacterized. The transcript is spliced from 3 exons. The record is from RefSeq and is a predicted model, not a curated record. NCBI's taxonomy places the organism in Eukaryota, Metazoa, Chordata, Mammalia, Carnivora, Felidae.
CACUAAUUCCGUGUAACUUGGGUGAGCUAUUUAAUCUCUAACCUUACUUCUCUUACCUGAAAAAUGGGAAUAGUAUUUUUUGUCUUGUCUUAGCUCAGAGUUGUCGUGGAGAUCAAAUGAGAUAAUAUAUGUGAAAGUGCUUUGAUGCUGCUAAAGCAUGCUGUAGAUGAAGACUAUUAUCCUCUAAUACAGCUUCAAUCAACAGAUAAGCUCUCUUUUCAUUGCUCACCUAGGACCUAAUCUGCCAUCCAUACUCUGAAAAAAUUCCCUCCAGACUGCAAACUCGGGCCGCGUGAGGACUUGUCGAAUGUGUGUUCAACUGGAGGAUAGACACCUGAGAAAUAUUAUUAUAUUCAGCUUUCACAUUAUGGUUAUCACGCCCAACACAGCUAGCCCUAUUAAAAAAUAUGCAUUACAUGCUCGAUGUCCGAAGAGAUCAUAAUCCAAGUAAGUCAUUUCGUACUACUCGCACACAUACUCUUCGGUCCCCCCAGCCCCACAAAUGACCUUCCUGUUCUGUUUCUGGAUGGGGAAGAAAUCCAGAAAGGAAGUGUGCUCACCGGCUCCCGCAUCAGCAAAUUUCGGAUCUACGUGCACUCAGACAUCAGAGCAGUAUCUGGAUGGCAACAUUAAAUGCCUUGCUGUUUAAAACGUCUUUGUGAACUCAGAUUAUUGAACAUUAUAUCCAAUUUUGAGGACGAUUUUGUUCACAUGAGAUCAGUUUUUCCAAGUUUAGAAAUGCAGCAUUCUUAGUUUAAAUAUUGCACGGUGAUGGUUUUCAAUGAUUAGAAACACAUUCAUACUAUAGCACGUCUGGGCCCAAGAAUACCUCAUUUAUAGCCCAUUUUUCUCUAGCAACAAUCUAAGUAUUUCUAGGUUGUAUUACAUUUCUCAUUCUCAUGCGCUCUCGGUCAAUAGACUGUCAUUAUCAGAAUAAAGUUCUUUACAUUUAACUGAA